CACAAAAUCUUCCAAAAAUUUAAAAAAUAUAUAAUAAAAAUAAAAAAGAUAUAUAAGAAAUUUUUUUCUCUCAAUCACAAACACCAACUCACUCUCAUCGAUAAAUAUUUUCACGCACUGUGAUAAGUCGUGAGCCGACUGUCGAUUGCUGCGCCGACCGCCGCUCCGAUCACCGCACCGACCGACACUCUGACCACCACUCAGAUCUAGAAACUGAAUCCUAAUAGUGUAUUGAAGGUUGGUAUGCAGAUAUUGAUGUAUUACAACAACAAACCCAGUGUAUUCCCACAUAGUGAGGUCUGGGGAGGGUAAGAUGUGCACUCUCUCUAUUGAUUCUAAGUAUCCUUGGACCAUUUCUAUAUGGAGUUUAUUUGUCAUAGGUUGUGCAAUCCAAAUUGCAGGAAUUUUAAGGCUGCUGAUUAUCCUUGGUUUAGUGGGAUUUUAAAGCAACUUGUUGGCCCUUUGAGUACACAGUUAUCUGAUCGGCGAUCCAACAUAAUCUAAUAGAUGCUCUCUAACAGCUCGUGGGACAUGAAUGCCUUCUCUGUACAUAUGAAAUGUACUUCUCUGUACAAAUAGUCUUAAAGAAUCAUGAAUCAACAAGGGUGUUCGAGAAAUUAUCAGAAAGCUAAAAACUUUCUUCCAGCUGGAUCACUAGUAGCUCCCAGAACAAGUGCAAUAGGUGCCAGCUAUAUCUCAAGUACCAGAACAAGUGCAACAUAUGGCAGCUAUAUCUCAAGUACCAGAACAAGUGCAACAGGUGUCUCCAGAUUCCACCUCUCUUGCAGCACCAGAAGAGGAGCAAGUACGACAAGAGUUGCCACUCCCACUAUUCGUGCAUCAUAAACCACAGCUGAACGAGUGCAGCAAGAUCAGUCACAACUCACUAAUUUUUAAGCAAAUGAACAAUCUGGAGAAGGAAAGGAUAAAUAUAUAUAUAUAUAUAUUAUCUACAUUUCAGUAAUUUUGUUAUUGAUAUUAUUGUAGUACCUUCAACUAAAAAAAGAAAAAGAGGAAAUACACAAAUGCAAGCAGUACAUGGAUAGACUGACUAUCAACUGAUAGUGCUAAAUGAGUUGAACUAGUCUAUUGGUCUAACUAAAGUAGCGCUCAUUGAAUUUUCCAGCUUUCUUGGCGCAUUGGCAUGGAAUGAGACAUUUUAUCCUCUUAAUCCCAGUUGGACAAAGUUGAAGACACACGAUGAUAUGUGGAGCUAUAUUUAGGAGAAAUAUGUCAUUCUCAACAAUGGAAAAGAUUGGGCUAUGAGCAAUUACUGCUUUUAGAGGGUAUAAGUUUAGACUCAAGAAAGAUCACUUUUAUGUCUACACCGAUAAUGAAAUUCGAAGGGCAAAAAGGCCUAGCAUUGUUUCAAAACUAGUAUUUGAGGAUCUCCUUAAGUAUUGGAAUUCCGAAAAAGCUGAGGUAUGAUAUAAAUGUGAACAACUAUUACAUUAUUAUUAGCAAAUAUUUAUUAUUGAAUUCAUCACGCCUGAUCUUCCUUUUUACGUUUUUCUUUCUUUCUAUAUAAGGCAUCAAAUUCUACAUGUUAAAACUUUCAUUGUCUCGAUAUGUUUAUUAAAAACUUAUUCAUAAAUAUUGUCUUGUAGGAUAAAUCCAUUACUAACAAAGAAAAUAGGAAAAAGUUUAAGUAUCCUCACACUACGGGCAAAAUAAGUUUUUCUCUAAUCACCGAGUUUGGUGUUUUCUCAUAUUGUUACUAUGAACUUGUUGACUUUACUUGAUAAUAUUUUAAUGCUGACUUGCAUGUAACUGAGAAAAAAGGAAGGAACAUUUUGGUGCUUUGACAAAUAAAAAAUUCUUUGUGGUUACUAGAAGAAGAAAACCUGAUCGAGUAUGUAAGGACAUAUCUGAAGAGAUUAAAAACAAAAUAGUAUGGAAUUUUUUAUUUCAAAAUUGAUCAAGAUCAUUAUUUUCUUAAAUAUUGAAUCAGCUAAAUUUACUUGCUCUUGAAUCUGAUGUGUAGGUUAAAAUAAAGAGAAAGAGACUCAAGAAAGUGAAGAUGGUACUCAAUCAACUGAUGCAUUCACAACAUUUAUGGGCCUAAUGGUUGAGGAAUUUUUAUUGAGUUUACUUGAAUUGCUUUCCACAUGUUUUAAAUUAUUAAUUCAUGCUCUAAUUUAUGGUUAUGGGGACUAAAUUGGAGCAUUGUAUUAAUGUUUUGAAUGGGGGACAUGGUUUUCCCCAAAUUAACGAAAUUUUGUCUUGUUAAUUGCAUUAACCUCAACCCGCCUUGUUAACUUAAUUUUUAAUAUGGAUAAUUGCAUAGUUUAACUUGUCUUUUGAACCCAUUGCAUUGCAUAAAAGGAUAAAUGAAUUAAUAUAGUUUU
Molecule: long non-coding RNA, 2348 nt
Organism: Capsicum annuum
Lineage: Eukaryota; Viridiplantae; Streptophyta; Magnoliopsida; Solanales; Solanaceae
Exons: 7
Source: RefSeq, a predicted model, not a curated record